Molecule: ribosomal RNA, 325 nt
Filed under: uncultured bacterium
Lineage: Bacteria
Description: bacterial SSU rRNA
Rfam family: Bacterial small subunit ribosomal RNA
Source: RNAcentral
GAUGAACGCUGGCGGCGUGCUUAACACAUGCAAGUCGAACGGGGUGCCUUUGAAAGAGGAUUCGUCCAAUUGAGAAGGUUACCUAGUGGCGGACGGGUGAGUAACGCGUGAGUAACCUGCCUUGGAGUGGGGAAUAACACAUCGAAAGAUGUGCUAAUACCGCAUAAUGCAGUUGGGCCGCAUGGCUCUGACUGCCAAAGAUUUAUCGCUCUGAGAUGGACUCGCGUCUGAUUAGCUGGUUGGCGGGGUAACGGCCCACCAAGGCGACGAUCAGUAGCCGGACUGAGAGGUUGACCGGCCACAUUGGGACUGAGACACGGCCCAG